AAUCAUAUUAAAGGGAAACUUCGCAAAAAAAUCAAAAAUUAAUAUUAUGUCCAUUCUGUAUAAAAAUGCUCAAAUUUAUAGAUAUUAAAGUUUUAUUCCGCUAAAUAAGAGAUCACCAUCGAUUUUAAAUUUUGAGUAUCAGUUCUCUGUGCUCCGCCAUUUUGUCACCUUCUCCGAUGAAAAAUCCCGAUAUGUCUAUAAACCACAAAGGAACAAAACUACAGUAAACGAUGUAGUCGUAAUUGCGUGUCGAUAUCUUGUCAAUCGUACGGUUGUUUUAUCUGACUGACUAACUUGAUACGGAAAAUGGUCUUAUUUUUUUAAAUAACCAUAUAGUCUGUUAUUUUUAAACUGAUUAUAUUGUAAUUAGUUAAAAAGUCAAAGUUCAAAUCAUAAAUAAGUGUUCCGUGGAAAUUGUUGUCGAAAAUCUAAUUCGUUCAUAAUUCUUAAAAGUAAUAAACUUUAUUUAAAUAAAUUCGGAUCUUCCCUCAUCUGAUCACCAGCAUGGCUAAAGGUAUUACUCCCAAAGGUAUUGGAAGGGGUGUAAGGUGACACGUCCAGGUAUUCAAUCGAUUUCCUGUCCGGCGGGCUUGCAAGUUCAUGCAUCGUUUCACUUCUGUAGGUAUUGAUCAGUGUACACGACCGUAACUUAUAACUUUCCAUUUUGAACUAUCAGGUGCAUGUAUAAUAUACAUUUUUGUUUUGCGUGUCCGAAAGUGAUAUAAUAUACUAGUCAUUACUGAACUCAUACGCUUGUUUAUAAAUAACAUUUCUGGUGUAAAGAAUAUUAUUUAUAAAAAAAAAAUAAUACAAAACAAAAAAUUUGAAGAACUACAAAUCUAUUUACAUAUUUUUCCAAGGGUUAAUUUGGGAAAAUACUCGUUGUCAAUAGUUUAGGACAGAUUGGAACAUACCAGAAUUAUUGAUUUAAAAAAAUGUGCACACUUGUCGACGAUUCGUGUAUACAUACGCCUGGGUAGAAAGUUACGGAACUAUAGUCAGUAGCGCAAUUUAAAAUAUGUAUACAUGUAUACAUUGAACAUAAGAAAGAAACAUACAUUUUGUGUAAAUUGUGGUAAAAGUUUUGUAAAUAGACUAGUCCACGUAUGCCAACAGUAUGUAAUCAACGAAUUCGGUAGACUAUUGUAUACCAAAAGAAGAAGAAGAAAAAAAGAAACAAUUUGAUUUAAAUAAUACAGGUCAAUUUAUAACUUGCUUUGGUUCAUCGAAGUUAAGAACAUAGUAAACUCACAGAUUUAUAUAUCCAAUUAGAUUGUUCUCGAAUAAAGGACGAAAUUCGUCAUCAUCACAAUUGUUCCGACAUUCAUGUAAAAUAUAUGCAACUGGACGUACACUAAUAAUCCCCAAGGGAUGUGAAUAUUUUCUAGGAAAACUAUUGAGUAUCAAUUUCGGGAUUUUUUUUCUUUCUUGAUAUUCAAUGACAGCAAUUUAAAGAAUAAACUGCUUGUCGGAUAUUUGUCCGCUUUAGGGGUAUUCUUGCAAGUUGAACAGACA
RNAcentral lists this long non-coding RNA (1515 nucleotides) under Mytilus galloprovincialis (Mediterranean mussel). Lineage: Eukaryota; Metazoa; Mollusca; Bivalvia; Mytilida; Mytilidae. The record is from RNAcentral.